UUUUUAGAAAAUUACAAAAAGAUAAAAAUCCUAAACAUUUUUUUUAUUUUACAACUAUACCACUAUUAUCAAUAUCUCCAAACACCAUGAACAAUCACGUUAGAGCUCUUAAAUCUUAAACAUUAAAUUUCUAUAUAUCUUCUUCUUACUCUAGACCAACAAAACUUCAUUUCUUUUCAUUUUCCUGUUCACUUUCAUCUAAAAUACUUAUAUAACUUUCAAUUUCAUAAACACAACUUUUAUAUUUUUAUAA
RNAcentral lists this long non-coding RNA (253 nucleotides) under Brassica napus (rape). RNAcentral describes it as "long non-coding RNA (BNAP_LNC018293)". Lineage: Eukaryota; Viridiplantae; Streptophyta; Magnoliopsida; Brassicales; Brassicaceae. The record is from RNAcentral.